AAUACUUGUGGUAAUAAAUUGUGGAUGGAAUAUUAGAGGAUGCUAAUAUUUGUAUAAAUAUGAGGUUACCUCAGAACAGGUCGCCUUCUACCUGCAAUUCCUUUGGAUAGCUUCAGUCUUUAUCUGGUAGGAUGUUGGUUAGAGACAAAGUGGAAAGUACAAAGUUGAUAAAAUGAAGGGAAAGAACUUCUACUAUAGCAAAUGGAAAGUGUUUUCAAAUUUUUUACAUCUUUGUAUUCCUAAAGCAACUAGGAAUUUUCUACUGAUGGAAAGUACUGUCAUUCUGCCAUAUGUGGAAACUCCCUUGAAAACUGUCAAGAAGGUGCUGAUUCCUCCCUGAAGAGCGGAUGAGGCAUUCUUUGUCGAGGGCUGCAGUUAGUAUGGAGGAUUUCAGGCAUGUAGUGCAGCCAAAAAAGCCAACACGAAUAGCUAACAGGGGGAAAGUAGGAAACACUGGUUUCCAGCUGUUUUGCGGAAUUUCCUAUUCAUGGAAUUUGGUGGUGCAGCCUCAGAAGGGCCAUUUUCACUUACAGUCCUGUCAGCCUCGUGAGACACACAUGGCUUACACAUUGUUCCACGUCGCUCCAGAAAAGCUAAUUUUUCUUUGUUCACAUGUGUUGCCCGAGACAGCCCAUAGACAGUUCAUAUCCACGAGCUAGACGGUUCCUGAGGUAGGCUGUAACCAAGAUAAAUCGAAUUGUAUAGUAACUGGCAGUCAGUACUCAGCCCGACUUGUUUAUUUAACAGCUUCUCCUUCUGUACUGUUGCAUCUUGUACUUUUGAUUUCCUUCCUUUACCCUGAAGCCCUCAUUACCUUAGUAAGAUUCUGCCCAGCUACAGGGAUGAACCAGGGGCCCGGAGCAUGGAAGAGCAGCUUGGUUUAAACCGAGAGCACGUUACAGAAAGCAAAAGCUCUUUCAAGAACUCGUCCCCUAAAUUCUUGGUUUGGAAGAUGUGGAAACUCGACUUUGAGGUAGAUGACAGAUUCGAGAAGUUACGAUGGCUCAGUACUUUUCAGGAAAAUGCUGGAGCAGCUGAAUAAUUUAGAUGGAGGUGAUGAGUUUGCUUAUGAAACGUGGGAGCAGGUAACUGGAUCUUUGUCUUUUGUGUCGUUUUUCGGUGCCUGUGGGGAAAUCCGGAGUCCUAGCCCAACUGUGCCAGAAUUUUAGGUAAGGCCUCUGAAGCCGGUGGAGUAACGGAGGUGCCAUUGCCUAGUUCACAGAUGCUCUCAUGAGCGACCGUAGAGAAGUGAAGAUCUUACCAUCUCUAGACACAAGAGGGCACUCGAAACAGACAGGGUGGGGGACAGUGCAAAAUGGGAGGGACACGAGAGCCAGGGUCAAGCUCUCUGUCGAAGGCUGAAGGCCGUGUUGAAUUUAGGCAUGGGGGGGCUGUCAGGGAUCGGUCGCUUUCUCAGCUCCCCCUUCUCCACGGGCACCCCAGUUGCCCCAGGAAAGAGAACUGACCACGUCCUAGGCUCCCUCUUCUCAUGAUUAAAUUGAAACCGAGGCUCAGAUCUAGGCUUUCAGAGUCAGGAUUCCCAAAUCUCUUACUUUGGCAAAAAUCUGCAGGUCGCUGUUGGUCUGGCAACUUUUCCCAUUAACCUCAUUUGAUGUCGCUUCCCUAGGAAUAUUUAAUGAGAAUCUCUUUUUCUGAUGCCAGCAGCAUUGAACUACUUGUGACCUGAGCUUUAAAGCAGAUCUGUUAUAUUUCUAGUUUCUUCCCUCCAACUCCUCUGCGUCUUUUAUUGAGGGUGAAUUUUGUAUGACUUGUGUUUAACUCCCUAAGCCUUGCUGUAUUCGGCACUCCUUGGAGAGGCUCAACAGGACGGAGCUGGAGUAGGCAGACACUCUGAAAUGGAAUGUAAAUUUGGAAUGUAAUGGGAACCCAAGAAGGAGGAGGUUGGAUUUCACAGAUGGAGUCUUGGUACAAUGUAGGUGAGUUUUGAAGUGAUUCAAUCUUCAUGGGUAUUAAAAUGCUUUAUUUAACCUCCACUAGAGACAUGUUUAACAGUGAGAAAUCUAUUCUUCGGGUUCUUGUGCAUUAAGCAGAGACAUGAAAGUGCUCGUGACUGUGGAUUUUUUUUAAAGGAAUUUAAAAGUUUUAAAAGAAUGGCGGUCUACUACCCAGCUAAGAUCACAAUGGUUCUACCUGAAUAGAUGUCAUAUAGUAUUCAAAUGGCCUGACAGUGGCACUCUAAUAUUGAAAUUACCAUUUCAAACACGCGAAUUAGUAAAGGCUCCCAUGCCCUGGGGUCUCCUAAGAAAGGCAAAAUCUAGGAAAAACCAAAAUUAGGUCUGAACUCGUUUUAGCACUCUUUUUGGUUUCUUUUCUGUGACCUGGGCGCAUUUGCAUUGUGCUUGGGAAUGUGUUUGAGCUGCCUUCACGCUGAGAGCGGCAGGAGCUGGUGAGUCAGUCCAGGCCCAGAGCGGUGGGGCCAGCACAGCCCACAAAGGAAGACGCACCCCUGAUCUGGAAAACCCGUUGUUUUUCUGUUGCAAGAAUUAUUUGACUCAUCUUUAAAGCUGUCACAUACACACUGACAUUUCUCAGUGGCAGGCCAAACCUCGCUACACAAAAUUUGUGCUUCGUCCUUCUGUCUUGUAAAAUAUAAAUUCAGGGCCUCGGAUGGAGGAAACAGGGAUUGCAGUCCUGAACAUUUAUCUUUCUUAUUUGAACGAGCAAACUCUUCCUUCCUUCCUGGAAUGUGACUUAACAUUUAAAAUUCCUAUUAAAUCUCUGGUACAUCCAGAAACCUCAGAAAGCUCUCUCCAGAGAAAGCAAACAUCCUCCUGCUCUUGGCCAAAGAAACAGAUGCACCCCAGCUCCAAGGCUGUGGCCUGUAGGUUCAGCUGCUCGGGGCUGCUCUGUGCAAGAGAACCGCUCAAGCUGGGUUGCCAGAAAAACGUUCACGUUGAGCUGGAAGUCAGCGUGUGCACUCGAGAGAGGCCAACCAAUCUGUAGGACAUGGGGAAGCUGUUGCAAGUAGGGCCCACACUGAGCUGCCCUGAAGUCAAAGAUAACGGGAUUUGGGGUUCUUUGGGGCUUGGGCUCCCCAGCGUCCAUUCCCCCUUCCCGAGUUAACCAUAGCCCUUCCUACAGGCCCCUGUGAUUUUGGGGAACUGGCCACACCCCAGCUCCAAGGCUGGGAUCCAACCAGUUUAUAUUAAUUAGUAAAGCUUCCUUGCUGCCCCUCCCCCAUUUUGCUGAUUGGCUGAGUGACAGGCCUACCAGCAAUCUGGGCCAACGGUUUUCCUCGCAGACUUCUAACAAGGACACGUGCUACAUGUGGAUGAAACCUGGACAGCGUCUCUUUUCUUUGGGACAGUGCAGGGGUUGGACUUGAACCCUAGGAGCUAAGUGGCUAUUUGCCACCCCCCUGAACACGAUGUCAGCCUAAGGAGGAAAGAUUGCUGAGCUAAUGAAGAGAAAUGAACUGGAGUCUGGACCAACCUGGACCCAAGGCAUACGUUGUUGCUGGACUUUUCGGUCACUGAACCAAUAAAUUGUCUUUAUUGUUUCAAUGAGGCUGAGCUGAGGUCUGUUUCUUGUGACCAAGGCUUCCGAAUUACCAUAUGGUGUCUAAGAUGAUUGGGGU
Mustela erminea (ermine) is the source of this 3598-nucleotide long non-coding RNA. RefSeq lists it as uncharacterized. The transcript has 3 exons. The record is from RefSeq and is a predicted model, not a curated record. Lineage: Eukaryota; Metazoa; Chordata; Mammalia; Carnivora; Mustelidae.